GAUGAACGCUGGCGGCGUGCCUAACACAUGCAAGUCGAACGAUGAAGCCCAGCUUGCUGGGUGGAUUAGUGGCGAACGGGUGAGUAACACGUGAGUAACCUGCCCUUGACUCUGGGAUAAGCCUGGGAAACUGGGUCUAAUACUGGAUAUGACUUCUCAUCGCAUGGUGGGGGGUGGAAAGAUUUAUUGGUCUUGGAUGGACUCGCGGCCUAUCAGCUUGUUGGUGAGGUAAUGGCUCACCAAGGCGACGACGGGUAGCCGGCCUGAGAGGGUGACCGGCCACACUGGGACUGAGACACGGCCCAGACUCCUACGGGAGGCAGCAGUGGGGAAUAUUGCACAAUGGGCGCAAGCCUGAUGCAGCGACGCCGCGUGAGGGAUGACGGCCUUCGGGUUGUAAACCUCUUUCAGUAGGGAAGAAGCGAGCGUGACGGUACCUGCAGAAGAAGCGCCGGCUAACUACGUG
Molecule: ribosomal RNA, 466 nt
Filed under: uncultured bacterium
Lineage: Bacteria
Description: partial 16S ribosomal RNA
Rfam family: Bacterial small subunit ribosomal RNA
Source: RNAcentral